Long non-coding RNA from Marmota monax (woodchuck), 1096 nucleotides. RefSeq lists it as uncharacterized. NCBI's taxonomy places the organism in Eukaryota, Metazoa, Chordata, Mammalia, Rodentia, Sciuridae. The transcript has 3 exons. The record is from RefSeq and is a predicted model, not a curated record.
CGAGGGCGGAGACCAUGUCCCUCCUCUAUCUAAGGACCCCUAGAGUUGGAGACUUCGAACCCUUCCUCCCCUGUUUUGCUGAAACAGAGAAGGGCCUGGUUUAUAGGUCUGUCUGACCCAGUGACCGGCUCCCCUCUGCUCCCACUCUUGCCUCUCCUCCCUUGUAAACAUCACAGGCAAGACGUGCUGACCAAAAGUCCUGCUACAGGCUGCUUUGUCACCACCUCCCUCCAGGCCUGGGGCCAGAGCAGUGACUGUGGCCAAGUGGAAUUGCUGGGGCAGGAAGGAUCUUGGAAGUGCUCUGUGGAGUUGGCUUCUAUCCUCUGGGCUUUGCUGUUACUCUUCUGUCUUGGCCUCUCUUCCCCAGCCUCUGAUCUCCUGGGUCUGCGGUGACUCUGGGACUCCAAAUGGGGGGGUACUCCUGCUAUCCCUGGGAGAGUAUUUGAGCAAGAUUUCCACUCUACAGGCUGAAGAAGGAGUCACAUCCAUCCCUGCCUUCCUGACCAAGGCUGAAAUGGGCUACAGUGUUGAGUUGCAGCAGAGACCCUGUGGCAUCCAAAACCUAGGAUAUUUACUAUCUGGUCCUUUAGAAGUUUGCUGGUCCUUGAGGUAAGAGGAAAGAAUUCAUUGUUCCAAGUCCUGGAUCUACACUUGCUUAUCUAAUCUGCCUUCCCGAGUCUUCAUUUCUCAUCUGUGAAAUGGGAAUCAAUUACCUCUGCCAACUAACCACCAAACUCAUGGAGGACUUACGAUACUGAAUACCUUAACGGAUAUCAAAAUGUAAAGAGUUAAACAAAGACUACCUAUUAUUAGGGCUCUUUCAUAAGCAUAUGGUAAAAGGGAGAAGACAAUGAAAGUUGUUUUUUCUCAAUAGAGGUCAAGAGGAAAUAAAUAAUAGAUGAUUGCUAAAAAGUACAUUGAUUUGUGUCAGCUAAUGUAUACUUUUGAGACAAGCUAAGCUGAAUUAUUAAAAUUAAAGGGAAAGAAAUAACAGUCAUAGCUGUCUUGAGAGAGAUUGAAGACUGUCAAGUGUGAGGUCCAACGGUGUGUUGGGGCAGCCAGAGGGGAUUCAGGUAUUGGCCGAGCCACUCAGGAG